Molecule: ribosomal RNA, 515 nt
Filed under: Arthrobotrys longiphora
Lineage: Eukaryota; Fungi; Ascomycota; Orbiliomycetes; Orbiliales; Orbiliaceae
Description: SSU rRNA
Rfam family: Eukaryotic small subunit ribosomal RNA
Source: RNAcentral
GCCUUUUUGGGUAGGCAUCAGCAUCUAUACAGUGAAACUGCGAAUGGCUCAUUAAAUCAGUUAUCGUUUAUUUGAUAGUACUUUACUACUUGGAUAACCGUGGUAAUUCUAGAGCUAAUACAUGCUAAAAAUCCCGACCUCCGGAAGGGAUGUAUUUAUUAGAUAAAAAACCAAUGCCUUCGGGCUCCUUGGUGAUUCAUGAUAACUUAACGAAUCGCAUGGCCUUGCGCCGGCGAUGGUUCAUUCAAAUUUCUGCCCUAUCAACUUUCGAUGGUAGGAUAGUGGCCUACCAUGGUUUCAACGGGUAACGGGGAAUUAGGGUUCGAUUCCGGAGAGGGAGCCUGAGAAACGGCUACCACAUCCAAGGAAGGCAGCAGGCGCGCAAAUUACCCAAUCCCAAUUCGGGGAGGUAGUGACAAUAAAUACUGAUACAGGGCUCUUUUGGGUCUUGUAAUUGGAAUGAGUACAAUUUAAAUCCCUUAACGAGGAACAAUUGGAGGGCAAGUCUGGCCCCC